This 150-nucleotide unclassified non-coding RNA is filed under the name uncultured Stachybotrys. RNAcentral's name for it is "sequence contains ITS1". The record is from RNAcentral. Lineage: Eukaryota; Fungi; Ascomycota.
CCGAGUUAACAACUCCCAAACCCUUUGUGAACAUACCUAUCGUUGCUUCGGCGGCACACGCCCCGGCUCCCGGAAUCAGGCGCCCGCCGAAGGACCCAAACUCUUGUCUUUACUGGAUGUAUUAUCUGAGUGACAAAACAAAAUAAAUCA